UACGUAGGGGGCAAGCGUUGUCCGGAAUCAUUGGGCGUAAAGAGCGUGUAGGCGGCCUGGUAAGUCCGCUGUGAAAGUCCAGGGCUCAACCCUGGAAUGCCGGUGGAAACUGUCAGGCUCGAGUCCGGAAGAGGCGAGUGGAAUUCCUGGUGUAGCGGUGAAAUGCGCAGAUAUCAGGAGGAACACCAAUAGCGAAGGCAGCUCGCUGGGACGGUACUGACGCUAAGGCGCGAAAGCGUGGGGAGCGAACAGG
Molecule: ribosomal RNA, 253 nt
Filed under: uncultured bacterium
Lineage: Bacteria
Description: partial 16S ribosomal RNA
Rfam family: Bacterial small subunit ribosomal RNA
Source: RNAcentral